GGGAAAGGGGGGAGGGCAUUCCUGGCAGAUGUACCAGAGCUGGACCGAGCAGGUCCUGUGUUAGGGACAGGAAAGAAAGGGCCCUGAAGGACAGGAGCAGUGGGCCGAGAGGCUCAGAGUUCCGCUCAGCAGCAUGGCCCACGGGCAGACUGCAGGGGAAAUCCUACUUUUCUCCUUCACCCAAUUCUGGCCCGAUGAGAGAGCAGAUUGCAAGGCCAGUAUGACACAGGGGUUAAGGGACAGACUUCGCAGCAAGACGGCCUGGGUCCACACGCUGCCCAUUCACCGUGUGACGUUGACAAGCUACCGAAGGACAAUACCUGUACCUACACCAGAGGUUGACAGGAGGACGACGGCAGGCAGGGAGAAUGCACGAAAUCAGACCCGAGAAAUUCUCUCUCUAAAGCAUCCUGGGAGACCUGCGGUCAGGGAAGAAGCCAUCACCAUGUGACUGCGUCUCUUUGUCUGCCAUUCUGCCGGAGGCUUGGUGCUUGCUAGGUCCCGCUCUGUCAUUUGGGCCAUCUCACCACGCCUCUGCAGCUCUCCCAUCGCCUGGCACCUGGGCAUGAGCAGGUGGAGCCCCUGGCAGCCGGGAGGAAAUUAUCUUACAAUUUUACUAUUAUUUCCUGGCUUCGCAAUCCUCUUACACAGCGUGGCCUCUAGAGUUAACAGCUGGCUGACCACCAAGAAGCCACAGUAAUUCAAAUCGCGUCCUCCCCGUUCACAUGGCUGCCCAUGGAAUGGUUCUGCAAGGAAGGAUACGGUUUUCUCGACCCUGGGAGGGUCCCUGGAUGGGUCUGAAAAUUAAACUGACAAGGACGGAUUCA
Long non-coding RNA from Leopardus geoffroyi (Geoffroy's cat), 827 nucleotides. RefSeq lists it as uncharacterized. NCBI's taxonomy places the organism in Eukaryota, Metazoa, Chordata, Mammalia, Carnivora, Felidae. The transcript has 2 exons. The record is from RefSeq and is a predicted model, not a curated record.